GGGAAAAUGUUUUCUUUCUGAUGUCACAUCAAAGCCCAAACAGGCUUUAAUAACUGGGAUCUCAAAAGACUAGCCAUGGGGAAGAAAAUGGUUCAGGAUUAUUUCUUCUGUAUUUUUUUUUUUUAGGGCCACACCCAUGGCAUAUGGAGGUUCCCAGGCUAGGGGUCAAAGUGGAGCUGUAGCCACUGGCCAAUAUCACAGCCACAGCACAGUAUAUGAGCUGAGUCUGUGACGUACACCACAACUCAUGGCAGUGCAGGAUCCUUAAACCACUGAGCGAGGCCAGGGAUUGAACUUGCAUUCCUAAAGAUGCUAAUCAGAUUUCAUUUCCGCCUAACCAUGACAGGAACUUGUGCUUCUUUAUGGUUUCUUAUAUAAAAUAUGGAAUAUUUAAAAAGCUUUCUUGUACUUUAUUUUACCUAGCACUGUCUUUCUGUUCUGGGUGGUUUUUUUUGUGUGUGUGUGUUUUUUUUUUGGUCUGCAUCCAUGGCAUGUGGAAGUUCCCAGACCAGGGAUCAAAACCUAUACCACAGCAGAGACAGCGCCAGAUCGUUAACCUACUGUGCCGCAAGAGGACUCCCUGUUCUGGCUUUUAUUAAAACUGUAUUUAUGACUAGAUUUUCAGCCUGUGAUGUUUGAGACUAGAGUUAAAUCUGUAGUGAUGCUCACAUUCAGCUGUUUCAAACGUCUCCCUUUGGUUUUCCCUGUGCAGAAUUCUAGUAAGUCCCUGGAACUAUACAUAAAUUAAAAAACAGUUUAGAGCUGGUUUUUAGACUCAGAAAUUAAGACAAUUACAUUGUAGAUGAAAAGAAGGCUUGAGAAGUUACUUAAAUUUUAUGUGUGUGUGUGUAUGCACAUGCACAGUAUAUACCCAGAAAGAGAUGGAACGCCCCCCCACCUUCCAGGGUUAAUAAACAAUGGGUUUUCAGACGUAAACCAAAAAAAGAGAUCUUCAUUAACAUAGGCAUUGUGAAAUGGUGACUUAGGUUUUAUGCAUCUUUUGUAGUAGUGGUUUGCAAGUAUUGCUCAGUUCCUUAUGAUUUGGUAUUUCUCUAACUGCUUGAUUCAGCCUUACUUAUGUCUUAGUAUUCUGGUACAUUUAAAAACAACAACAAAAAGAACAAUUAUCCUCCGGUUGUUAUGGGCAAGAGAGAGGCGUCUUGAGACACCCAAGAAACUCCUGUCUGUUUGGGGGAGUCUGACAGACAAAGCUGAAUUGUCAUCUACUGCUGUUACUGAUAGUCAUGCUCCACUUACUGAGCAACCCCUGUGUGCCAGGCAUGGUACCCCUUACGUGAGCCUCAGAACUGGGCGUUUUAUCUCUUUUGUGGAUGAGGAAACAUUUCUGCAAGGUUACUUUCCCAAAGCCCAACAGCUCCAGUGGGGCAGGGUUGCAGUUUGAACUUGUUUGUUUCUACCUGUCAAGGUCAGGCCUUCUGCUGUGGUGGUACUAGAUCUGCACGUGGGCCGUCCCAGGUACUCAUCAAGUCACUGACCCCUCUCCCACUUCACUACCCAGAAAAACAGCUCUGAAAGGUUGUUUACUGGAGUUCCUGUUGUGACAGCGGGUUAAGAAUCUGACUGUAGCGGCUAAGGUCAUUGUGGAGGUGGCGUGGGUUCCAUCCUUGGCCCUGGGCAGUGAGUUAAAGGAUCCAGCAAUAUGUCAGAAGCUGUGGCUUGGAUUCAGUCCCUGGCCUGAGAACUUUCAUAGGUCAUGGGUGCGGCCAUAAAAUAAAAAGCAAAUGAAUAAAGUGUACAGAUGAAUGGUUAGAAAAUAUAAGGUGGUUACUCUAUUUCUGGAAUUGGUGAAAGUUACAACUUGGUCGUAACAGGCACACUUGCUCAGGCGAGGGUGUUCAUCUGUGUUUGCUCAUUGUCCUGAGCAGGAGCCUCAAAUCUGAGGAGCAGGGAUGAUGGGAGUCGGCCUGACAUCUGAACAGUUGAAACAGCUGCAGCAAUUCGAUCCGUUGGUGGUGCCAUCACGGGACACCAACUUUGUCUCAGAGACAGCAGAACAGAAGACAUGAUCCGGCUGGCCAAAGAGGACUGUGUAGGUUUCUUCACUGCAAGAUUUGUGAAAUGCAAAAGCAAUAGUGAAGGAGCCAUAGAAGUGAAGAUUCCAAACAUUUGCUGUGCAGUUUUGUUUUCUGUUUUUUUAAAUUUAACUUGAAUCAAUCGUCAGGCCACAGAUUGAUUCUGUGGUUGCUGAGGAAACUGAAGACUGCCAGCUGUUCCGCCGGGAACCCAGAGAUUUGAUCAAGAGAUUCUGCUUCAUAGAGGAAUUAGUCAGGGGGCAGAUGGAGAUUAUACUUUGUGUUUUUAAAAUAAUUUUUUUCUUCAUGGAUUUAGCAGAGUAUAAAGAAGGCAGUAUGAAGAAAAGGGGAUGCCUAUAGAUGUCUGGAACAUACUUUUACUUGGGGUCUUUGUUUUAAUUUGUAAAGAGUGCAAAUCAUUUUUAAUGUUAAAAUCAGGGGAUUUAACAAAAGAAAAUCCACAAUAUUUAAUUUGGUUAUAAAGCAUGUUUUCUGUUCCUCAGUUCAUGUGUACAAGUUGCUUACGAAUUCAGGUUAUGGGAACUAUAACUUAUGUAUCAUGUGCCGGGAACUGAGCUGGGGAUUUUACCUGACUUUUUCUGUUGACUAUUUCGUUAAUCAACUUCCUUUCACCUGAAUUCUGGGCCUCUCCUAAAUGACAGUCUCCCUUCACUGUGUUUAAUUUUUUCCCCUUCAUAUUUAAAAAAACAUUUUUUUUUCUUUUUACAGCCUCACCUGUGGAAUAUGGAAGUUCUUUGGCUAGGGGUUGAAUCGGAGCUGCAGCUGCAGGUCUACACCACAGCCACGCCAAAUCCGAGCUGAAUCUGCAGCCUAUACUUCAGCUUGUGACAAUGCCAGAUCCUUAACCUGCUGAGCGAGGCCAGGGAUUGAACCUACAUCCUCAUGGACACUAUGUCAGGUUCUUAACCCUCUGAGCCACACCAGGAAGUCCCCCCUUCAUAUUUUAAACUGAAAACGAAAAUGAAACUUUUUUUUUUUACUCUAUAGAUUAAAAGUGAGAAUACUGCACAAUUUGGGUACCUUAUCACCUGAUGGAUCACAUACAGGUUAUUAAGAGAUGUGAGUGGUGAGAAAGAGAAAAAAGCAUCCUCUGAGAGCUGGAAGGUGGCCGGGCACUUAGAGCUAAGCCUUGGCAUCAUAUCACCGAACAGAAGCAGGUCCACAGUACACCGACCUCAGACCAUGCAGCUGUGACUGGGCCAGAUCAAGACAAAAAAGACCUCUUCACAGUUUAAAAUCUGAAAUCAUCCAAACUGCAAAUGUGACCAAACACAUCUCUCCCCGUAGUGGCCAGUUUAAGAGGACUGCCUUUUUAAAAUUAAUUGUAACGGUGGGCUUGCUUCAUCCUACCUGCUUUUUUAGGUUUCCAUUAGGAAUUUCUCGAAUCUGUUGUAUCCAUCAGGAAUGCCAGGUCUCGUGGAUCAGCAUAGGGAUCAAAUCAAAGCUGCCAGCAUAGCAUCACAGCCAUGGCAACACUGGAUCUGAGCUGCAUCUGUGACCUACACCAGAGUUUGUAGCAAUGAUGGAUCCUUUACCUACCGAGGGAAGCCAGGGAUCAAACCUGCAUCUUCACAGACAUGUGACACUUGACGUAUGAAUAAGAUGAGAAUAUCCUGCACUGCAUCACUUCGCAAAGGGUGAGGAAUUAAAUUCAUCAUCAAGAGGGAUCUCCAUUUUAAGAAUGAACAAUAAAAUUUAAAAUCCGAGUCAAGAAUUGCUGAAUACGUAGAAUGAAGGUGGGGAGAAGUUGACUCGGCUGUGCUCAGGCCUCAGGAACCUUUUACCUGCCGGAAGCUGUCAUUUUAUCAGACGUGAUGGGAAGACCACACUGCAGGCCCUCAGUGACUGGCAAGGCCCCACAGGAAGAUGGGCCAUGAGUGGGAGGUGCUGGAGCAAGAACAAGGAGCCAGCAGAUGCGCGCCCCCUCUGGCUGUGAGCCUCCUCCCGUCCCUGCCCGCCCCCCGGACCCCGCAGCAUCCCGCGGCUUGUGACCUGCAAGGCAGGUACUCAGUUGACACUGGAGAUACUUGAGGACUCAGCGUUUGUCACAUUCUGGAUAGAGCUGCCCAGUUGGAACAAGCACAGCACCCGGGUUCGGGGCACAGAUCCUAGCCAGGCGGCCGCAGGGAAGAGCUGCUUGCUUACCUCAGGGAGAACUCAAGGAGGAAGAAGACAACAUCGGCUGGUGAUUCCUGCCCACCACUGCUUUUUCAUCAUCAGCGCAAAUGUCAGAACAGCGAAAAAGGGGGCAAAUGUCUCAGUGUUACUUACCAUGGAGAUGCUCUUUGCCUAAUGGACCCUCUGACAGCACCGCAGAAGCUCCUCCACCACGAAUCCAUGGGCUGCUCUUUGGGAAUCACUGUUCUACACCAUGAAAUUAAUCAUCCUCCUCUGCUUCUAUGAAUCUUAACAAUUCUUGAUCACCAUCUCUCUCUCAAACCCUCUGUGGAAGGUAAAAGCCUGUUUAUAAUUGGAAAGCAGGAUAUAAACACACAUUAGUAAAGUUUCAUUACACAACAAACAGUAACAACCUGGCUUACCUUAGGAGAAGACAUCUUGUAAUAGGGGCCAGAGAGGUUUUACUGAGUUGAGCUGGAUGAUUAAUAGUAUCUGCAUCAAGGUCCACCAGUUGCAGUGUUCUUGCAAGUUCAAAAAUCCUCUCGAUUUCACUCUGAACUUCCGCUGUAAAAGAUUAUUCAGACCAGAUUGAGAUAAAAGUAAAAUGCUACUCCUGGAGGUGAGCCAUUAGGUUGAUGUCCACAGGUAAGAGAGCUGAGAACAGGCAUCAAGGGAAAAAGCCAUUUCUUCACAACACCUCUAGAAUUUAGAGAAUUCCUAUCAGCUAUAAGAUUUAGUUCUAAUAUAACAUACAAUCUGAGAGUCAACUUUUUUGGCUCUCUCUCUGCUGACUUGUGUUUGGUGCUAUAAAACUUCAGUCUAUAAAGUCAUUCCAUGAAAAUGUUGUAAAAUAGAAACUUGAAGAGCUGUCUGUCUGUCGUGUUGGUUUCUGACCACUCCAGCCCAGCAACCAUCACCAGCUUUCCUGUCAGUGCCUGGGCUUAUGUGUUUGCAUGUCACCUCUUGGUCUGCUCUCUGGAUAUGACGGUGUCCAGAGAUGGAUAUUAGCAAGCUGAACUUCAGCACACAACAGGACAGGCUUAAGAGUGUUUACAACAAACUGGUCCAGAAACCCACUUCUCCUGUCUUCCACAAACAAAAGAAUAAUCCUGUAACAUUCAGGCUUUAAAAGGGCAAUUAUAGGAGUUCCUGUUGUGGCUCAGCGGAAAUGAACCUAAGUACCAUGAGGACGAGGGUUUGCUCCCUGGCCUCGCUCAGUGGGUUAAGGAUCUGGUGUUGCCCUGAGGUGUGAAGGACACGGCUUGGACCUGACAUUGCUGUGGCUGUGGUGUAGGCUGGCAGCUGUAGCUCUGAUUCAACCCCUAGCCUGGGAACUUCCAUAUGUGGCACCAAAAAAAAGGAGGGGGUGUCAUUUUUAUAUGAUUUAUAGAAAACUACGUGAUUUAUAGAAAACAUCCAAAAGUCUAGCUGAAUGUCCAAAAAAAUUUCAUGUACUUUUAUGAUCUGAGUCUAAAAAGGGCUGUCCAAGAAAGUUUUCUGUGAUGAUGGAAAUACUCUAUCACCGCCAUCUGGUAUGGUGGCCACAACCCACACAUGGCUGUUGAGAGCCUGAAACGUAGCUAGUAUGAAUGAAUAACUGUUAGAAAUUUCAAGUUAAAUAGCCAGAAACUAUUUCAGUAGACAUCACAGGUCUGUAAAGCAUUAAUAUAUAUAGCUUGCAGUGCCCACGACAGUCAUGAAGGGCCCAAUUCCAUGAGAUUUCCUGGACAUUUAAUUCCUCUUACGCAUUUGGAUCCAUGCAGAAGAUUCCUGUAGAUGAUUUUAACUAGAAUGCUAUGCCAGAAAAGGCAAAUCCAACUAACUGACUGCUUCACAGAUGUUCUGACUAGAGUCCUUUCAUUUACCUGGAUGGCUUUAAAAUCACACCCAACCUACUCGAGAUGAUGGCUUUGAAAUAGUAUUUGAUCACAUUACCACCCAUGACACAGUUUUGCUAAAAGAAAAACUAUUAAGAUUCUCGAUUUACCAGCUGAUAAAUACAGUGAACAGGCAAGUAUAUAAAGUAUAUUAACACUGUAAUGAAUGCAGUUAGCAAAAUGCAGUCACUGAAAACCCUACAGAGUAAGUGACCCAGUUUCCUCAAAAAAUUACAAGGAAAUGAAAGCUAUGGAAUACUAGAUUAAGAGAUUUAAGGACCCAUGAACCAAUCAUAGUAUAUGGACUUAUUUGAAUCCUGACACAGCAAUUUGUAUAUUUAUGAUGAAUAAGUGAAUAAAAUGUUUUAUAU
This 6420-nucleotide long non-coding RNA is filed under the name Sus scrofa (pig). Its description in RNAcentral is "lncRNA (ENSSSCG00055028956.1)". The record is from RNAcentral. Lineage: Eukaryota; Metazoa; Chordata; Mammalia; Artiodactyla; Suidae.